UAGGGAAUCUUCGGCAAUGGACGAAAGUCUGACCGAGCAACGCCGCGUGAGUGAAGAAGGUUUUCGGAUCGUAAAACUCUGUUGUUAGAGAAGAACAAGGACGUUAGUAACUGAACGUCCCCUGACGGUAUCUAACCAGAAAGCCACGGCUAACUACGUGCCAGCAGCCGCGGUAAUACGUAGGUGGCAAGCUUUGUCCGGAUUUAUUGGGCGUAAAGCGAGCGCAGGCGGUUUCUUAAGUCUGAUGUGAAAGCCCCCGGCUCAACCGGGGAGGGUCAUUGGAAACUGGGAGACUUGAGUGCAGAAGAGGAGAGUGGAAUUCCAUGUGUAGCGGUGAAAUGCGUAGAUAUAUGGAGGAACACCAGUGGCGAAGGCGGCUCUCUGGUCUGUAACUGACGCUGAGGCUCGAAAGCGUGGGGAGCAAACAGG
This 429-nucleotide ribosomal RNA is filed under the name Gemmatimonadota bacterium. RNAcentral describes it as "Gemmatimonadetes bacterium partial 16S ribosomal RNA". It matches the Rfam family "Bacterial small subunit ribosomal RNA", at positions 355 to 776 of the family's 1533-position model. The record is from RNAcentral. Lineage: Bacteria; Pseudomonadati; Gemmatimonadota.